UUAUUUGCCUAUCCAGCCCCAUCCCUCUUGCUUUCUGGUCCAGAAACAGCAGUUCCAGAGGAUACUCCAAGAUGAGCUUCCAGGCCCAGCUCCUGUGUCUCCUGGUGAUGGGCUUUCAGGACUGCACAGGGUGGCACGUCCUGACUCAGGCCCCAGAGACCCUGGCAGCGCCUCAGGACAGCUUCGUCUCCAUCACCUGUAGAAGCAGUGUGGACGUAGGUACCUCCAUGGCCUGGUACCAACAGAAACCCAACGAGCCUCCCCGGCUGCUCAUCUUUGGGGCUUCUGCCCGGGCCGCUGGAACCCCAUCCAGGUUCCGGGGAAGUGGCUCUGGCUCUGACUUCUCCCUCACCAUCCAUGGAGUGGAGGCUGAGGACAUCGGGGUGUAUUACUGCCAGCAGCACGUCAGCUGGCCUCCCACAGCGACAGAUCCCCAAACAAAAAUACCCUGUCUGCGUCAUGGAUGCUGGUUGUUGAACCCAGACACCUGCUUCCUGCAGGAGGCCACGGCGUGA
Non-coding RNA from Suricata suricatta (meerkat), 515 nucleotides. Lineage: Eukaryota; Metazoa; Chordata; Mammalia; Carnivora; Herpestidae. The record is from the annotation of a RefSeq genome assembly.